GAGAGCAAAGCUACGGGGAGAGAGAGAGUGGAGAGGUCACCUGUACCAGACUGGGAGAGACAGACCAGAGCAGGAGAGGACACCUGUACCAGACUGGGAGAGACAGACCAGAGCAGGAGAGGACACCUGUACCAGACUGGGAGAGACAGAUCAGAGCAGGAGAGGACACCUGUACCAGACUGGGAGAGACAGACCAGAGCAGGAGAGGACACCUGUACCAGACUGGGAGAGACAGACCAGAGCAGGAGAGGACACCUGUACCAGACUGGGAGAGACAGACCAGAGCAGGAGAGGACACCUGUACCAGACUGGGAGAGACAGACCAGAGCAGGAGAGGACACCUGUACCAGACUGGGAGAGACAGAUCAGAGCAGGAGGGGACACCUGUACCAGACUGGGAGAGACAGACCAGAGCAGGAGAGGACACCUGUACCAGACUGGGAGAGACAGACCAGAGCAGGAGAGGACACCUGUACCAGACUGGGAGAGACAGACCAGAGCAGGAGAGGACACCUGUACCAGACUAGGAGAGACAGACCAGAGCAGGAGAGGACACCUGUACCAGACUGGGAGAGACAGACCAGAGCAGGAGAGGACACCUGUACCAGACUGGGAGAGACAGACCAGAGCAGGAGAGGACACCUGUACCAGACUGGGAGAGACAGAUCAGAGCAGGAGGGGACACCUGUACCAGACUGGGAGAGACAGACCAGAGCAGGAGAGGACACCUGUACCAGACUGGGAGAGACAGACCAGAGCAGGAGAGGACACCUGUACCAGACUGGGAGAGACAGAUCAGAGCAGGAGGGGACACCUGUACCAGACUGGGAGAGACAGACCAGAGCAGGAGAGGACACCUGUACCAGACUGGGAGAGACAGACCAGAGCAGGAGGGGACACCUGUACCAGACUGGGAGAGACAGACCAGAGCAGGAGAGGACACCUGUACCAGACUGGGAGAGACAGACCAGAGCAGGAGAGGACACCUGUACCAGACUGGGAGAAACAGACCAGAGCAGGAGAGGACACCUGUACCAGACUGGGAGAGACAGACCAGAGCAGGAGAGGACACCUGUACCAGACUGGGAGAGACAGACCAGAGCAGGAGGGGACACCUGUACCAGACUGGGAGAGACAGACCAGAGCAGGAGAGGACACCUGUACCAGACUGGGAGAGACAGACCAGAGCAGGAGAGGACACCUGUACCAGACUGGGAGACACAGACCAGAGCAGGAGAGGACACCUGUACCAGACUGGGAGAGACAGACCAGAGCAGGUGGGGAGCAGUGCAGCAGGUAACAGGGUAUGUGAGAGUGUCCAGAGAUUAG
RNAcentral lists this long non-coding RNA (1329 nucleotides) under Oncorhynchus kisutch (coho salmon). Its description in RNAcentral is "lncRNA (ENSOKIG00005023070.1)". Lineage: Eukaryota; Metazoa; Chordata; Actinopteri; Salmoniformes; Salmonidae. The record is from RNAcentral.